Strigops habroptila (Kakapo) is the source of this 1678-nucleotide long non-coding RNA. Lineage: Eukaryota; Metazoa; Chordata; Aves; Psittaciformes; Psittacidae. The record is from Ensembl.
AAACAAAAGAAAAGAUGAAAAAUAGUAAGGUCAAUUGAAAAAAUACAUAUACCAAAACCAAAAGGACAACUAGAUUUACUAUGAGUGCACUAAGAUUUUGCAGAUUCAAGGUUUUACUGCAUGCAAUUUAGGCUAAAACCCAAGGAUACUUAGAGUCAGACUGGGUUUUAUGAAAGCCAGAGGAAUUUUUGGACCUUCAAUGGUUAAGAGGAAGAUAAUUUGUCUGCAUUGACUUCAUUGCUGAUCAUCGUACAUAGUGUUAUGAAAAGAAGAUACUGUGCACAACACAAGAAAAAAAAAAGAAGACUAACAUUUUUAAGACAACCAGCAUCCGAGAAUAGAAUGGAGCCUUGGAUAUAAAUUGUGAUUAAAAAAAAAAAAAAAAAAAUUGAAAAAGAGAGAAUAGGGAAAGAUUUCUUCCUUGCAAAAACUAUAUCAGAAAAGAAAAAUUGCAGUCAAAUGGCAGGGGGAAAGAUCAUAUCAUUACAUCAAUAAAGUCUAACAAAAUUAUUUGACAAUGAACGGAAAUAUUAGUAGGCAUCACAUCCAUCAUGGACAAUAAAUUACUUCAAGAUAUCUAAUUCCCAGAUACAGUCAGUCAAUGGUGAGGCUGCACACCAUAGAAAAAUCCCUUUUUUCAUUUUCAGGUGGCUCAUACAAUAUACUCGACAGCGCAGUGCAUGCAUCACUUCUAUGCAACUUGCCGAAACAAGGACAUGACUUAGAGCAUUAUUUGAUUUCAGAUUGUGACACCUUAGCGCAGCAGAUAUUUGAAAUGCAGUAAGAUAUCUGCCUUACAAAAGCAACCAAUAGCAUAAAUAACUCUUGACCUACACUUGUGGGAGAAAAAAAAAAUCAGUAGCUUACAGAACAGGUAGCAAAUCUGGCAUUGCUUUGAAAUAUCUUCAUUCAAAAUUUUCAUUGGAUGAAUUCCCUCAGGUCUGAGAACAGACAGCUGGUUAGAAUCUAGGCAAUUCUAUUGAUAUGACAGGAGUCAGUACAGUAAAAGAGAGCAGAGAAAUUGGCUUAUAAAUUGAAGGGCAGGGCAGAGGGAAGAAAACCUUGUUUUCUCAUUAAAACGCAUGGCUUUUCACUUUCCUACAAUCUGUGUUAUCUGAAGGUAAUAUCCUUAUGGUACUUACUAACAAUGAGGGCGGAUUUUAACACAGAAGCAUAAAUUCAGUCAGAUAAACAGGUUUGUUCGUUCAUUUGUUUUCACUGUGGAAAACAGAUAAAUCUUUAAAUUUUAUAAACUGUUGUGGUUUUUUUAUUUUUUUCACUUUACUUCCCAAGCAUGAGUUAACUAACUCCCAAAACAUCUAAGCUAAAUUUGGUCUCCAUUCAGCCAAUAGAGAUAUCACUGCAGGAAGAAACAUUUCAAACAGUCUGGGGUAAGUGGUUUCAGAAAUAAGAAACCUUAAUUUUAAUUCUGAGUUAAUAUAGUUAAUAUAGCAAGAUGUGAAAUACUGCCUACAAGCUUGCUUGCACUGAACCUGAAAUGGUUUAUGUCUCUCUGUUAUGUUUUUAGGUUUAGAGCCCAGAGGAAAGUUCACUGUAGUGCAGAGAUUUUCAACUUGCGAACACAGCAGAUUUCGCCCCAGUACAACAAGAACCGAGGGAAGAAGCAGCAAAAGAAUAAAGACCUAACAUCUGUUACUAACUUUAGGUCCCAAUUCAG